CUGCGCACAUCCUCUAUUAGCUGCACUUCGAAAAAAUUACGUAGCACUCACGAAAAUUAAUAAAAUAUAAUUUAUUUUUGUUAAGCUGAUGUUAAUAGUGCAUGCGUUAAAAAUGUACGAUCGACUGCUGUUUUAGAAACUCUCCGUCGUCGUAAUCGGCUUUCCGUAAAAUCGCGUUGCGAUAAAAUAAUAGACAAGAGUCAACACGAUAGCGCAGGUCGCCAGAGACGUCGCGACACAUCGCUCAAAAAUAUAGCCACAAAUCAAACACUCGGCGACGCGUCGCAACGUAGCUAAGAACAGAACGUAGCGUACACUGUUCCGUGUGGCCAUUUACGUCUUCAAGACAGAAAAAUUAUUUUUUAUUCGUAUAGCGAACAUCCGCGAACAUAGUACGCGUAGCGUUCAAUGUGGCCUCGGCAUAAGACGGUGAUUCCCAACGUGGGCGGUACGUUCGGUCUCAUUUUCAUACGGAUAUUGCCGACAGUUGUAUACUUGCAUUUAUUA
Cinara cedri is the source of this 507-nucleotide non-coding RNA. Lineage: Eukaryota; Metazoa; Arthropoda; Insecta; Hemiptera; Aphididae. The record is from the annotation of a GenBank genome assembly.